This 6897-nucleotide long non-coding RNA is filed under the name Homo sapiens (human). Its description in RNAcentral is "HSALNT0300047". The record is from RNAcentral. Lineage: Eukaryota; Metazoa; Chordata; Mammalia; Primates; Hominidae.
GUCUGGCUGGAGCUGGACCGGCUGGUGGCGCCAGGCAGUGCCAAGCACCCCUGGCAGCCCUGCAGAGGGUUCUCAAAUCCAGAUUUCAUUCUGCAGUCCCGGCAGUGUUUUGACGACUGCCUCACUAAAGGAAGCUAAAAGCUGUGCUGAUGCCUCCCAGACGAGCCUCGUUGGAAGCACAGAACCUUCACGGCUCGGAGCCGCUGACACCGUGACAAAGGGAGCCCUGCUCAGGUGAGACAAGGCUCGGGGGUUCAGAUGCUGGUCGUCUGGUACAGGUCUCUGCCGUGUGCAUGAGAACAAGUCCGUCUGCCAGGCUGGACGCUGCUAUCAGACAGAUUGAUUUGCCGAGUGUCUUUCAGCAUUUCCCUAAUUCCUUUUUGAAAAGCAAGAGCUAGGCUGAUCAUGCACCUGGGUCAUAAAGCCCACUCUAAAAUCAGGGAGAUGGCUUUAGAGAGGAUCCAGCCAAGGAGAAAACUAGGUCUGACUCUCGGAUGUGUCAGCAACUGCCCCGAGUCUGCUCAGUAGGUCCCCAGAGGUGAUUCCUCUCCAUAGUCUGUGAACUCAUCAUGGAAUGCUGGCAAUGGACUAUUCCACGGGGUCUGGAGUGCUGAGUUCUAGUUCAGAACCUGUCCUAGCGGCACCAGGAAGCCCUGUGGUGUUGGGCAAAUCACAUAACCUCUUGGUGUUUCUGUUCUUUAUUGAAAAAGAUGGUUAUGUAUUUGCCAUGACAGGUUCAAACUCCUUAGGGGUAAAAUUGUGCCCUAUUUACCUUUGUUUGCUGAGUCCUUGGCACAAGGCCUGGUGUUUGACACACCUAAAAAUUACCCAUGGACUCUGUGCUUUGGGACAGAAAAGGUGAUGACAAGAUGCAGGUGUAAACUUGGAAAGGCCAUGAGAUCUAGGUUAUAGUCUCAGUGAAGUCAGCUACCCAUUCAGAGCCCUGUAAAAUGAAUACAGCCAUGUUUUGUGUUGUGUGAUGACAUCAGUGCAGAUGUGAGCCAGACUUAGGCUCAUGGUGGGCACUUCAGCAGGUGCUAGCCCUGGUGGGCUUAGCUUUGUGUAUGUCAGACCCCAGUGACAGGUCUAAGGGUUGGAGAGGAGACCGGGAGUGAUGUCAGGCUCUGGGAUGAGGGCGUAUUUGGAACAGUAUGGCUGAAGCCCUGUCAUGAUGACCAAAUUGUUCUGAUGACUCUGAGCCAUUCCCCAGUUGGAGUCAAUCUCCAGGAUGACUGAUCCACUGGGCAGAGUCUGGUGUUAAGAGACAACACGGUGCUCGCAGUCAGGCAGAUGUUCUUGUUUCAAUACCAAACAGAUACAUCCAGAAGGCAAAUAGAAUGGUCUUAGCUUCCUGAUUAAAUCUCACUUGCCUCCCCCACUGCCUUGGGGGCCCUGUUCGAGCUUCCUCCUUUGCCUGACCGUGUUAAUAUUGGAGGACGUGAUCUCCAUUCUCUUGCUGCUAUAUUCCCUUCUGGCCUUAUUGUGGGAGAUGCCCUGCUUCAUUGCUUCCGUGACAACUAUUGCUUGUAUUUUUCUGCUUGCUUCCCGAUAUUUCUCAUCUUCAUGCCUCUGCUUAAGCUGGGCACCCUCUCCAGUGACCUGAAUGACUUGUAUUCAUUGUUUAAGGCUACGCUGCGCUCCCACUUCCUCCAAAACGCCUCCCCCUGAUCUUUUAGGUGUUUCUCUCCUUGUCCUGAAAAACACCCAGCAUUGUAUCUAUUACAUAAGAUUGUACUGCUAUUAUCUACACCCUGCCCCAUUCAUCUGUGCUCCUUGAAGGAAGGGACUGUGGUUUCACAUCCUGAUAUAUCCAGAGUCUAGUGCAAUGCCUGGCUCACAGGAUGGAGAACCUUGUCCAACUGUGGGGAGGAAGAAAGAAUAUCCAAUUUCUGGGAAGAUGACAAUUUCUGGGGGCUUCCAAGAGUUUCAUGGUCCUCAAGAAGACUGUGGCUCUGGUUGACAACAACAACCAGGAAACCAAAGUAGAAACCCAGAGCCCAGACACCAGCACUGGGGGUCUCAGGGAGGCUACAGCUCAAGGGCUGGGGGACAUGGGUGCUCUGGGCUCACUGUAGGGAGAGAGAUUCCCACAGUUGAAGGCACCCAGCUCCUCCAGGGCACCAGCCUUGGUUUGAGCUAUGCUGGAUGGGGCGGAGGCUGAACCUUGGUCUCACAAUGGAAUUAAGAUUGAAUGGUGGGGUGGACAGUGAGGUCAAACACUCAGUGAGGAUCAGUUGCAUUGUUAGACUAUUUAUUCCAGCAUUGAUUUGCUCCCAGAUGACAAUAUGUUGUUUUAGGAUUUGGGUAAUUUGCACAAAGAGGUUUUUAAGGCCCUGACUUCGUCCUGGUGUAGACAGUGAGGAGAUCUUCCUGGUGGAGCCUGGGUGCAUGCAUGCAGUGUUUCUAAUUAGUCAUGCAGCAGGACGAGGAGGACCACAGCCUCCAUGGUUCUUCCUGUUGGAUGUGACCAUCCUUUGAGCAGAGAUUGCUACAAAGGCAAAGCUGGAACAGCAUGGAUGCCUAACUGCGCCCAUGAGGCAGAGUCUUUGAGUUGUGACCGACACAUCUCACACUAGUUUAGGCAAGAGAGGAAAUGUAUCGGGUCAGGUGACCAGGAAGAUUAAACACAACUUUGACCCAGCUGGACCCAUGGGCUGAAUAAAGUCAACAAAUAUAAGUAUUGUUUUUUGUUCAUUUUUUCUCUACUUCUCAAGUUUGCUUUUUUUCUGAAUUUUCUUUCAUACAAGCAAACACUCUCCAUGGAUUGUCAGAGAGAACUCUGACAGUUCUCAUUAGUAACUCCAAUGAUAAAAGAGGACCCCUUUCCCUAGAGUUCUCGCAAAAUCCUCAGAUCCUUUGUUGGGCCUUGUUCGGCUCACAAACACAUCCCAAAUACAGCCCUGGGGUCUGGGGAUGCAGUGUUCUGAGAGGCCCAGCGUGGGUCAGUCCCUUCCCUGGCCCUGCCCCUGCCCCAUCCCCAUAUGAGAAGUGCAUGCAAUAAAGCUACAACUCAAGCUGGCAGGGCAAGAGGGGAGCUUAGAAAUUAUCUGGUUGACUUCCCUCAUUUUAGGUUUAUUAAUUUGGAAAAGGAGUAAUGCCAUGAAUAUUUUAUGUACUUACUGGUUACAAUUUAGAGAAUUAAAAUGAAAAUAAAAACCACGCAUAAUCCUCUAACGUUUAGAUGUACUUCUGAUCAUUUGAUAUUUUCCCCAAAUACUUUAAAAGUUAUCUACAUCAUUUGAAAUAUAUUAAUAUUUUGGAGCUCCGAAUUUACCUUAACCAUUUUUCCUUGUCAUUCACUUUUCAAAAUUAUUUAAUGACCUUCCUUAGCACGAAUAUAUUCAUUUAUCAAAAUUCAUUCAGCCAUUCCCCUAGUAUCAAUACCUUCUUUUUAGGGGUGAAGAAAUUGAGGUCUAGAGAAGGUAAGUGAUCUUCCAAGAUUGGCAGCAGAGCUAAGACAAUCUUGUUUAUACCUUAUUUAUCAAAGUUAAAUUACCUACCUAAGGUCCUUAUCUCUCUCUAUAUAUAGAUAGAUGUCUGGAAGACAUGGAAAAGUGAUUCCAUUCUUUUUUCUUUUUGGUGGCUUUAAAAAUUGGCAGAUAGGCCAGGCAUGGUGGUUCAUACCUGUAAUCCCAGCACCUUGGGUGGCCGAGGAGGGCGGGUCACCUGUGGUCAGGAGUUCGAGACCAGCCUGGUCAACACAGUGAAACUCCGUCUCUACUAAAAAUACAUAAAUUAACCUGGCAUGGUGGCAGGCACCUGUAAUCCCAGCUACUUGGGAGGCUGAGGCAGGAGAAUCGCUUGAACCUGAGAGGCGGAGGUUGUGGUGAGAGGUGGAGGUUGUGGUGAGAGGUGGAGGUUGUGAGCCAUUGCACUCUAGCGUGGGCAACAAGAGCAAGGCUCCAUCUCAAAAAAAAAAAUUUGUCAGAUAAGAAAGAGAGACGUAUUUGAUCUGAGUAAAACGCUCCUCCCAAAAUGAGGCCACCUGAAGCCCUGAUGAGAAGUUAUCCUCAGAGGAGGAGCCAGUGUAGCAGGUAGAAGUUGGGUUAGUUACCGGGGGGUGGGGGGAGGGCAUCAGCAAUGAGCUUUUCUACAUUGGCAAAGAUGGAGAGCAUAUUGACAAUGCACACUCUUCAUGAAGGGCCACAUGUAGGUGCUGCCUCUGCCUGUACAUUUUCAUCCAUUCCACAGAUACUGAUUGCUCCCCUACUCUCUGCCAGGCACAGUUCUAGGCACUGAAGAUAAGCAGAGAAAAGAUAGGAGCUGUGCUCCCAGGGAGCACUGCUAGGCAUGAAAGAUGGCACAGAAAAUUAGAUAAAGAAAUAAAUGAAGAAGACAAGAUGGAGACGGAUGUUAAUUCACAUGGUGAACAAUGAUGAGGACUGGAGAGUGUUGGAUUGGGACUAAGUUGUUGAAGUGGCUACUUAGGAGGUGAAGAUUGGGUUCAAUUGUGAAGGAGAAGAUGGGCCGGGAGAGAGAGCAUCGCGAGCCAGGGUGAGCUGGUUCAAAGGUCCUGGGUUAGGUGGUGCAGGGCUUGUUUGAGGAACAGAAGGAAGGCCAGCCUGUGUGGCCCAUGGCUGAGCCUAAGAGGAGGGUGUGGAGUCAGCCUAGACUGAGGCCAGGGACAGGCAGGGCCAGGUAAGGGCUUGGUAUUUCUUUCAAAGUGUUCCGGGAAGCUCUGGGGAGUUUUCCAGCUGGGUAGUGCCAUGCUCUCGUUUCUACUUGGGAAGAUCACACUGGCUUCUCUGAAAGUGCAGAUUUUAUGGAGCCAGGAAUGGCAGCAGUGAGACUGAUGAGGAGGUUAUCGUCAAGGUUCAGGCAGAACACCCUGGUGCCUUAUACUGGCUUGGAAAAAUCAGCUGGGAGGGGCUGCUUGGAGAUCAGGCCACAGGUCACAGCGGAACUGAAUGGGCCUGGUGUUGGGGUGGUGAGUGGUGGCCUGUUUAGGGAAAGCGGAAAAUUAAAGAGAAGCCUUACAAUUUUUUAAACAUAUGAGAAUUUAACACCCAAUCUGUUUUUCCUUCAUUUUUUACUUCAUUCAGGAGGAAAAGUAGACAAGAGGGAGAAAUUGAGAUUCAAAUAAUCCAACACUCAGGCAGAUUGCCUGCUAGCAUGCUUAUCUCUCAUCAGCACAGUGAGGGAGGGGCCUGUGUCACUUUACAGAUGAGGCAGAGGGUCCCGCAACUCCUUAAGGGUGGAACUAGGAUUGGAAACCACUCCUCCUGGCUCCUCUUUUCCUGCCAAGAGCGCUGCACCAGCUCUGGAGGAAGCCUCAGGAGAGGUUACACAAGUCUCAGCUGCCUGUGGUAUUUGAGUGGCCAUGGAGGAUGGAAUUUAUGCUGCUGGAAUAACUAGAGCCACUGCCCCUCAUCUGCAGAGAAGACACACUAUCUUGCAAUUGCAGAACUCCUGUGCCUCGCUUUCGAAAUUGGUCAUAAGCUGGAGGCUGAUGUUAUCUUUCCUCACCCUUCAGACCCAAGUUCCCCAACUCCUCUCACCGCCCCCAACCACCGCUUUAAUGACCGGUAAACAAGCAGCUAAAUGCACCAUGCACUGAGGGGCUCCAGCGAGGGGAGGAGGUGACUCUUCUGAAGAAGGGCUCCACCUGAGUUACUGAGUCAGCGAAAAGGCACCUUUAUCCAGGCCUAGAGCAAAACGCAAUCAGCCUUCACAGGACUGGUUUCCCAGCCAUGAGCUUGGGGGACAGGGCUGGCUGCAACGGGGGCUGCCAAGGGCCCAGGUUCUGUGCUGGAAACAAGAGCACUCUGGUGGACUCGGAAAUACAGCGCUGAGGUGGGUGGGCUUUAGUCGGAGCCACCUCCCCGACAUUCCUGCCCCAGGCUUCUCUCCCAGGCUUUCCUUCCUGGCCCUGCCAUUCUGCAUUCCUUACCAACCUGCUGUAUUCCCACUCUCGGCUGCCAGGAAGCCUCCUCUUCCCCCGAGCUUUACAGCGUUCAUUAUUUACCUUCCAGUUUGCACAGUUAUAUCACUGGAGUUUAAGCACACUUUCUAUGUGCAGAACAAACAUUCGCACAUGCCACAACGUACAGUGGGCUGUUUUGUGCCACGUGAUGUGCUACUGUAUGCAAAUUAAAGACGAAGUUAACAUUCCCUGUUGCUGGCUUUUCCAAGUGUGUGGGUAUCCAUUAUAGACUUCAAUUCUUUGUAAAUAUUUCAAAGGAAGAAACUCAAAGAGAUGAUAUGAAGGUUGUGAAAUUCCCCAUCAUAAAAUCAGAAACUGAUUAAACCUGGAACAUGCAAAGCCAAUAUUGAUUUCAGCAGCAAAACCAAAAUCAGGACAAGCAGACAAUAUUUUCAUAAUUAAAAAAGAAAAUGAGCUCAUGUGAAGAGAUGUUAUCAUCACUCGUAACUUGAAGAUGCUUUUGGAUACACUGCAAUAAUUCAGCUAACGUUAACAUAAAAAUGAAAGAAAUUUUUCCACAUCUGUAUUAUUAGCAAAUGAAUUAGGCAAUUAAUAAUUUGUUUGCUUUAAAAUGUCAUUUUCAUAAACACAAUUUAAGCAUUAUAUAUUUAUGACAAUAUCUUUCAUUUUAAAGUUAUUUUUACUUAGUGUUUAUUGUAUGUUAAUUCGCUCUCUUUCUGUUCCUUUUUUAUUGUCAAAAGUCCAUAUUAUGUAGAGAUAAUUUUUGCUAGCUAUUGUAAUAUAUAAUCUUGUUAGAAUAUAUUCGUCCAUAAUAACAAAUUAUACAUUUAUCAUAGUAUGUGUUUUACAAAAAAAUCUCCUUUAAUGUAACCCUAUUACAGAAAAAAAAAUUCAGUGUUUAUUAUUUUGGUCCAUUUUUAUUUUUGUUUUUCAAAAAGUGCUUUCACAAAUACAGAAUAACUAAUCUACUCAUACUCUAAAAUAAGGACUCUAGUACGGAUAACUGCAGAAGC